GACGAACGCUGGCGGCGUGCUUAACACAUGCAAGUCGAACGGAAAGGCCCUGCUUUUGUGGGGUGCUCGAGUGGCGAACGGGUGAGUAACACGUGAGUAACCUGCCCUUGACUUUGGGAUAACUUCAGGAAACUGGGGCUAAUACCGGAUAGGAGCUCCUGCCGCAUGGUGGGGGUUGGAAAGUUUCGGCGGUUGGGGAUGGACUCGCGGCUUAUCAGCUUGUUGGUGGGGUAGUGGCUUACCAAGGCUUUGACGGGUAGCCGGCCUGAGAGGGUGACCGGCCACAUUGGGACUGAGAUACGGCCCAGACACCUACGGGAGGCAGCAGUGGGGAAUAUUGCACAAUGGGCGGAAGCCUGAUGCAGCAACGCCGCGUGCGGGAUGACGGCCUUCGGGUUGUAAACCGCUUUCGCCUGUGACGAAGCGUGAGUGACGGUAAUGGGUAAAGAAGCACCGGCUAACUACGUG
This 468-nucleotide ribosomal RNA is filed under the name uncultured bacterium. Its description in RNAcentral is "partial 16S ribosomal RNA". It matches the Rfam family "Bacterial small subunit ribosomal RNA", at positions 28 to 507 of the family's 1533-position model. The record is from RNAcentral.